GGGAUUGCCUUAGUAACGGCGAGUGAAGCGGCAACAGCUCAAAUUUGAAAUCUGGCCCCUUCGGGGUCCGAGUUGUAAUUUGUAGAGAGUGUUUCGGGUGAGACCACGGUCUAAGUCUAUUGGAACAUUACGUCAUAGAGGGUGAGAACCCCGUAUGCGACCGUGGCUCGAGCCCAUGUGAAGCCUCUUCGACGAGUCGAGUUGUUUGGGAAUGCAGCUCAAAAUGGGUGGUAAAUUUCAUCUAAAGCUAAAUACUGGCUGGAGACCGAUAGCGCACAAGUAGAGUGAUCGAAAGAUGAAAAGCACUUUGGAAAGAGAGUCAAACAGUACGUGAAAUUGUUGAAAGGGAAGCGCUGGCAACCAGACCUGCCCGUGGGCGAUCAGCCGCUGUUCUCAGCGGUGCACUCGUUCCGCGAUCAGGCCAGCAUCGGUUUCGGCGGUCGGAUAAAGGCCCGGGGAACGUGGCUCCCUCUCGGGGGAGUGUUAUAGCCCCGGGCGCAAUGCGGCCAGCCGGGACCGAGGACCGCGCUUCGGCUAGGAUGCUGGCGUAAUGGUUGUCAGCGACCCGUCUUGAAACACGGACCAAGGAGUCUAACAUCUAUGCGAGUGUUUGGGUGUCAAACCCAUGCGCGGAAUGAAAGUGAACGGAGGUGAGAACCCUUUAGGGCGCAUCAUCGACCGAUCCAGAUGUCUUCGGAUGGAUUUGAGUAUGAGCAUAGCUGUUGGGACCCGAAAGAUGGUGAACUAUGCCUGAAUAGGGUGAAGCCAGAGGAAACUCUGGUGGAGGCUCGCAGCGGUUCUGACGUGCAAAUCGAUCGUCAAAUUUGGGUAUAGGGGCGAAAGACUAUCGA
Molecule: ribosomal RNA, 851 nt
Filed under: Hypotrachyna bogotensis
Lineage: Eukaryota; Fungi; Ascomycota; Lecanoromycetes; Lecanorales; Parmeliaceae
Description: eukaryotic LSU rRNA
Rfam family: Eukaryotic large subunit ribosomal RNA
Source: RNAcentral